GAUGAAGAACGAAGCGAAAUGCGAUAAGUAAUGUGAAUUGCAGAAUUCAGUGAAUCAUCGAAUCUUUGAACGCACAUUGCGCCCGCCAGUAUUCUGGCGGGCAUGCCUGUUCGAGCGUCAUUUCAACCAUCAAGCCCCAGGCUUGUGUUGGGGACCUGCGGCUGCCGCAGGCCCUGAAAACCAGUGGCGGGCUCGCUGUCACACCGGGCGUAGUAGAUUUUAUCUCGCUCAGGGCGUGCUGCGGGUCCCGGCCGUUAAAAGCCUUUUUUUACCCAAGGUUGACCUCGGAUCAGGGAGGAAGACCCGCUGAACUUAAGCAUAUCAAUAAGCGGAGGA
Molecule: unclassified non-coding RNA, 336 nt
Filed under: soil metagenome
Description: partial contains 5.8S ribosomal RNA, internal transcribed spacer 2, and large subunit ribosomal RNA
Rfam family: 5.8S ribosomal RNA (bases 1-120)
Source: RNAcentral